GAACUCAAAAACCGGAUGAAGAUGAGGGGGAGACGGGUAGUCAAGUGGUAUGUAGAAGAGGCAUAUUUCGGUUUGUGCGUGAAUCUGACGCCUAGCUUUUGCUGUUGCUUAUGGCGGUUCGUUAGAUUCACGCACAAAUUCGUAAUAUGCCUUUUCAUUGUUUUCACCCCUGUCAUCGAAUUUGCUGUUUCAUCGGUUUAGGAUUCUUGCAAAUAGAAGAACCGCCAAGCCCUCCGAGGGUCUUCGAAAACACAAGCACCCCACUCCUUACUUUGAACCAGAUUUGUGAUAAAAUCAGCACAUUUGUUCCCUUCUCGAAAGACAUGAGAGAAGGUGAUUCUUCCAAACUUGGUAGCCAUAACCAUGCAGUCUUCCAAAAGGGUGCAUGUGGAGUCGUCCUUCCCGUUGUCGUUCUGCAUCAACUCAACCACCGUCUUGGAAUCCAAUUCAACGAUAAUCCGGUGAAGUCCCUUUUCAAGACAGAGUCGCUAAGUGUCCUACAUUAAGUGGUUAAAUUUUACAGUGCAAAUGAUUUGUGGUUUUGCUCCAAUGGAAUCUUUACAAUGGCAGACAAACUUGAUCUGCUUUGAGUCUCAUGAAAAUGAUAUGUGAACGAAAAGUGCAACGUCAAUGAUAAUUUAGGGACGAAAAGUGAGUAUGACCAACACGAUGAAUUCUACAAUUAUUCUAUAACUUAAGGACGAAAAGUGCAAUAUUUCCUUUGUAGAGUCUAAUGCAUUUUUUGAAGCCUGGAGAAGAGUUCAUUAACCAGUGAGGGAACCAACCAAUGAGCCGCCUAUCAUGCGAUGGAAGAAACCUCGUGCAGGUUGGAUUAAACUCAAUGUUGACACAACUUUUGACAAAGACUCUAAGAUCACAGGGAUGGGUUUCAUCUUGAGAGACUCCCUCGCAGCUAAACAAGAAAUAUGGAGUGGCCUUUAUCACCCAAAGAUUGGGAAGGCUGUCAGGAUAAGGGAUUCUCUAAAAUGGUUGAAGAGAAUGGGAGCGGACUCAAUCCUAAGGAAACUAAUUAAUAUAUUCUUCUGUAUUAGCUUUGCUUUUGUUAAACGAUUCGCGAACACGGCAACUCACUUGCUAGCCUGAGAAGCUUUGCUUUGGAUGUUGUUUGACUUGUCUUCUUAAUGAAAUGUUUGUUGUUUUGUU
Molecule: long non-coding RNA, 1164 nt
Organism: Ipomoea nil (Japanese morning glory)
Lineage: Eukaryota; Viridiplantae; Streptophyta; Magnoliopsida; Solanales; Convolvulaceae
Exons: 2
Source: RefSeq, a predicted model, not a curated record